This 253-nucleotide ribosomal RNA is filed under the name uncultured bacterium. Its description in RNAcentral is "partial 16S ribosomal RNA". It matches the Rfam family "Bacterial small subunit ribosomal RNA", at positions 524 to 776 of the family's 1533-position model. The record is from RNAcentral.
UACAGAGGUCUCAAGCGUUGUUCGGAUUCAUUGGGCGUAAAGGGUGCGUAGGCGGCGCGGUAAGUCGGGUGUGAAAUCUCGGGGCUCAACCCCGAAACUGCACUUGAUACUGCCUCGCUUGAGUACUGGAGAGGAGACUGGAAUUUACGGUAUAGCAGUGAAAUGCGUAGAUAUCGUAAGGAAGACCAGUGGCGAAGGCGAGUCUCUGGACAGUUACUGACGCUGAGGCACGAAGGCCAGGGGAGCAAACGGG